AUGUUUUAUAUACUGAGGUUUUAGUGUUGCUUGUUACAACAUGCCUAGCUUAGCAGAAUGUUAUUUUUACUGCAGUUACUGCUAUCAUUAUUGGAAAUUACUCAAUGAGUUCUUCCAGAAACAAAAGGGGAGUGUAGAAGACUUAAAUUCAGAUAACAAAGUAUCCACAUGCUGCUCAUCCUGAGUGAACCUUCUGCCAUAAGGUGAAGAAACCCUGCUUGAUGACCCUACUGAGGCUGACUCUGGCUGACCUGCAUUCAAGCUGAGACACCAGAGUUCUCAUUCACCAAGGCAGACCCAAGUUCUGCA
This 309-nucleotide long non-coding RNA is filed under the name Felis catus (domestic cat). RNAcentral's name for it is "lncRNA (ENSFCAG00000041846.2)". Lineage: Eukaryota; Metazoa; Chordata; Mammalia; Carnivora; Felidae. The record is from RNAcentral.